RNAcentral lists this ribosomal RNA (252 nucleotides) under uncultured bacterium. RNAcentral's name for it is "partial 16S ribosomal RNA". It matches the Rfam family "Bacterial small subunit ribosomal RNA", at positions 57 to 305 of the family's 1533-position model. The record is from RNAcentral.
GCAAGUCGAGCGGUAACAGAAAGUAGCUUGCUACUUUACUGACGAGCGGCGGACGGGUGAGUAACGCGUAGGAAUCUACCUGAUAGUUGGGGAUAGCCCGGGGAAACCCGGAUUAAUACCGAAUACGCUCUACGGAGGAAAGGAGGGGAUCUUUUGACCUUUCGCUAUCAGAUGAGCCUGCGUGAGAUUAGCUAGUUGGUGAGGUAAUGGCUCACCAAGGCGACGAUCUCUAGCUGGUCUGAGAGGAUGAUC